CUUGAUGAUCUGCUCACGCUGCUGAGGCUCGUAGAAAGACACCGCUGCUCUCGGUUCUGGACCGGUCACGUCUCCCUCAGCGGGCUCCUCCUCUCCAUCAGUUGGUCCCGCCCCCACACCAGAGCAGGACGCUUCAGAUGCUGCUCUAGUGGGGACAUUUCUGGGUUACUGAUGAACAGCUGUGCAACCCCGUAAACUUUUUUCUCUCAGGGGAUCAGAGAGGAGGACUGAAGUUGGUGAUGAGCAGAGAUCAGGCUGAUCUGGACGGCAGAGGAGGAGCAUCCUCAUGUGCCCUGAAACCUGUGAAGGAGGGGCUGAUGGGAAACCGCCUGAGCCACCUCGUCCGCCUUACCAGAGCCAUCCCCACAGGAAAGUCAUAAGAGGAGGAAGAGGAGGAGGUGGAGGAGGAACCCCAUCCCACAAGCCCUCUUUCCUGUCUGGUACCUGAAAACGAGGGGAAGAGAUCAGCAUUGCAGGAACUAUGGAUAAGAACUGUUUGCUCCUCCUUCCUGCCUGCUGUAACCUCAGAUACAAUCCCUGUUCUUCCUCUGAACGGUUUGGCAUUCAACCAACAACCAGCGUCAAAGUGUCCUUAAGCAAGACACUGAACCCCAUAUGGAUCCUGGUGGUUAUAGGUUACCAGUGCUCAGCAGCCUCCUUUACAUAGUUUAUCUUUGAGGUGCACCUUAAAUGUAUAAAUGUAACUAAUCUAAAUUAAAUAAAUGUUACUUUAGUAACACAUACAUAAAAAAAUACCAUUAUUUUAUUUUUCUGUAGCCAGAGAGCCACUCUGGAGAGAUAAAAGAGCUGCAGGUUGCAGAUAGACCCCUGAUCUAGUAUAAGCACCGACAUACAGUAUUUCUACCAGAAUGUUUGCAGGUGGAACUGUAAACCCAGUUGCUGCUAAAAGUAAAAAAUUGUGGCUCCCAUUGGAAGUCUGAAGACCUGAUGUGUCUGUGGAUUGAGAAUCAAAUUCUUCUACUGAAAUCAUCUUGGAGGCCAGUUUUUCCUGUGGUUGGAGCCUUGAUUCUAAUAAAUCCUCCUUAAGAUUCUU
Long non-coding RNA from Oryzias melastigma (Indian medaka), 1054 nucleotides. RefSeq lists it as uncharacterized. The transcript has 3 exons. The record is from RefSeq and is a predicted model, not a curated record. Lineage: Eukaryota; Metazoa; Chordata; Actinopteri; Beloniformes; Adrianichthyidae.